AGAUUGCUCCGCGUGAGUGAUGGUAGUGAAGCUCUUUUUUUGAGAGGUGUUUCAGCCACUCAAAAAAAAGCGGGAACGUACAGCACGACCCAAA
Molecule: small RNA, 94 nt
Filed under: Flavobacterium urumqiense
Lineage: Bacteria; Pseudomonadati; Bacteroidota; Flavobacteriia; Flavobacteriales; Flavobacteriaceae
Description: Flavo-1 RNA
Rfam family: Flavo-1 RNA
Source: RNAcentral